Long non-coding RNA from Symphalangus syndactylus (siamang), 249 nucleotides. RefSeq lists it as uncharacterized. NCBI's taxonomy places the organism in Eukaryota, Metazoa, Chordata, Mammalia, Primates, Hylobatidae. The record is from RefSeq and is a predicted model, not a curated record.
CUCCCCCCACCUCGGCCUCCUACGUAGCUGGGACUACAGACACAUGCCACCAUGCCUAGUCUUUACAACAACCCUAGGAGGAAGAUACUUAUUCCCAUUUGGAUGGAGCACAGGGUAACUGAGGCUCAAACACAAAUGCCCCUGAGGAGCAAGAACUGUACCCACAGCACCCAGCACAAGGAUGGGUGGUCUCAGGAAAGGUCGGCCAGAUAGAAGGGCAGAUGAGAAAUAAAUGUACUGAGAGCUGUC